Molecule: RNA transcript, 1156 nt
Organism: Drosophila rhopaloa
Lineage: Eukaryota; Metazoa; Arthropoda; Insecta; Diptera; Drosophilidae
Gene: Syb
Gene name: synaptobrevin
Exons: 5
Source: RefSeq, a predicted model, not a curated record
CGGAGUAAUUAAGAGGGUCACACUGAUCACAAGCUGAUAUUUAUUAAAAAAAAAUUGUGCUAUUUAAAAGUCAGCCGCAAGUUUUCCGUGGAAAACCCGAACUACACAGCAGUAUUGUACAGGCACAUUGUCAAGCACCAUCACAAUGGAGAACAACGAAGCCCCCUCCCCCUCUGGAUCCAACAACAACGAUUUUCCCAUACUUCCGCCACCGCCGAACCAUCAAAACAACCAAUUCGGUGACCACCACUCCAGCAACAACAAUGCGGCCCAGAAGCGACUGCAGCAGACCCAAGCCAAGGUGGACGAGGUGGUCGGCAUUAUGCGGGUGAACGUGGAGAAGGUUCUGGAGCGGGACCAGAAGCUUUCGGAGCUGGGCGAGCGGGCGGACCAGCUGGAGCAGGGAGCCUCGCAGUUCGAACAGCAGGCCGGCAAGCUGAAGCGCAAGCAGUGGUGGGCCAACAUGAAGAUGAUGAUCAUCCUGGGCGUCAUCGCCGUCGUGCUGCUCAUCAUUGUCCUGGUGUCGCUUUUCAAUUGAUACAAUUAAUUACACACAAAGAAAAACAAAAGCAAAACCGACAAAAAAUCAAAAUGCAAUUCCGUUUCCCAUACAGCAAAGUUAAGGUUCAGACUAAUCGUUAAACACGUUUAUGUACGUGUAUCGGGCUCCUACUAUAUACACUUAAAAUUGUAUAUUAUUUUAAAUAAACAUCUUAAGCUAAGCAACUCUAAAACUCUAAAGUGUCCGUUUGGCCAUCUAGCAGUGACAGUAGCAGUGGUGGAGGAACUAAGGCCAUCACCCAGGCACCGCCGCACUAAACGCCUCCAAUGGAGUGAGGCAACUACACGGAUACGGAAAGGAAAAGGACCAAACAACCACAUCUAGGACGGGAACCUCAAUUUCUGGUCUUUUCGCGCAAUCAGAGAGUGAAAGAGGAAUAGAAAAAUCAAAAGGAAAACUUACUAAAAUUGCGUCUAGCAUAUAUUUAACCAGAAUGUAAUUAUUAAAACUUAAUGUUAAACGAAACAUUUUUACGUAUUGUAGCCGAGACCAGAGGUCCACAUGAAUGUGUAUUGCAUAUGUACAAUUAUAUAUACAUGUAUGUCAUCCAAUCGAAAUACAUCAUGCCACCUACACUUUAACCAGUCCAAGGAA